GGCACUGUGCAGCAGCUCCAGAGGCUUGUACUACGAAGCAAGUUCAACAUGCCCUGGAUUUAUUUCCCGGCUUCACCUAACCUCACAACCGCGGCCACAUCAG
This is a long non-coding RNA of Etheostoma spectabile (orangethroat darter), 103 nucleotides long. RefSeq lists it as uncharacterized. The transcript is spliced from 3 exons. Lineage: Eukaryota; Metazoa; Chordata; Actinopteri; Perciformes; Percidae. The record is from RefSeq and is a predicted model, not a curated record.